UGUCAAUGAAUCUGUCUCUCAAAGCCUAAAAGAUACGCACUGAUCCAUCCACAGGGCUCAGCUUGAUGGGAACCAAAAGUUGACUGAAUUUGUUCACGCCCUGGAAGCUGCUUGCGUUGGGACAAUAGAGUCCGGGAAGAUGACUAAGGAUUUAGCUAUAUUGGUUCAUGGACCCAAGGUAUCAAGGGAACACUACUUGAAUACUGAAGAAUUUAUUGAUGCUGUAGCACUGAAACUUCAAGAGAAGCUUGGUGCCUCCGCAAUUGUAUGAGCUGAAACAGAUCAUGAGCAGCAAAUCAUCACAUAUUUUUUGCUUCCUACUCAUACCCUUCACAGUGAACAUAAAUCUAUACGCCGCCAAUGGAGAUUCUUUUAUACUAGUUUCUGUAAUCGCUCCGAUAGGAAAUAACAUCUCUUUGAGUGAUUCAUGCUGGUGACUCUUAAAAUCCUCAAAUAAAAAUGCCAUUUCUCGUCCAUUUGUCAAUUUUA
This is a non-coding RNA of Nicotiana tabacum (common tobacco), 489 nucleotides long. The record is from RefSeq and is a predicted model, not a curated record. Lineage: Eukaryota; Viridiplantae; Streptophyta; Magnoliopsida; Solanales; Solanaceae.